UACGUAGGGUGCAAGCGUUGUCCGGAAUUAUUGGGCGUAAAGAGCUCGUAGGCGGUCAGUCGCGUCUGCUGUGAAAUCCCGAGGCUCAACCUCGGGUCUGCAGUCGAUACGGGCAAACUAGAGUAUUGCAGGGGAGACUGGAAUUCCUGGUGUAGCGGUGAAAUGCGCAGAUAUCAGGAGGAACACCGGUGGCGAAGGCGGGUCUCUGGGCAAUAACUGACGCUGAGGAGCGAAAGCGUGGGGAGCGAACAGG
This 253-nucleotide ribosomal RNA is filed under the name uncultured bacterium. RNAcentral describes it as "partial 16S ribosomal RNA". It matches the Rfam family "Bacterial small subunit ribosomal RNA", at positions 524 to 776 of the family's 1533-position model. The record is from RNAcentral.